CUUGUUGGUGAGGUAACGGCUCACCAAGGCUUCGACGGGUAGCCGGCCUGAGAGGGCGACCGGCCACACUGGGACUGAGAUACGGCCCAGACUCCUACGGGAGGCAGCAGUGGGGAAUAUUGCACAAUGGGCGCAAGCCUGAUGCAGCAACGCCGCGUGCGGGAUGACGGCCUUCGGGUUGUAAACCGCUUUCAGUUCCGACGAAGCGCAAGUGACGGUAGGAACAGAAGAAGGACCGGCCAACUACGUGCCAGCAGCCGCGGUGAUACGUAGGGUCCGAGCGUUGUCCGGAAUUAUUGGGCGUAAAGGGCUUGUAGGCGGUUUGUUGCGUCGGAAGUGAAAACUCAGGGCUUAACCCUGAGCCUGCUUCCGAUACGGGCAAACUAGAGGGAUGCAGGGGAGAAUGGAAUUCCUGGUGGAGCGGUGGAAUGCGCAGAUAUCAGGAGGAACACCGGUGGCGAAGGCGGUUCUCUGGGCAUUUCCUGACGCUGAGAAGCGAAAGCGUGGGGAGCAAACAGGCUUAGAUACCCUGGUAGUCCACGCCGUAAACGGUGGGCACUAGGUGUGGGGAACAUUCCACGUUCUCCGUGCCGAAGCUAACGCAUUAAGUGCCCCGCCUGGGGAGUACGGCCGCAAGGCUAAAACUCAAAGGAAUUGACG
Molecule: ribosomal RNA, 660 nt
Filed under: uncultured Actinomycetes bacterium
Lineage: Bacteria; Bacillati; Actinomycetota; Actinomycetes
Description: SSU rRNA
Rfam family: Bacterial small subunit ribosomal RNA
Source: RNAcentral